CCAGUUCUAAUAUUAGUGUGAUGGGAAAGGCUGUCAUCCACAUCAGUAGCAUGCAGGAGUGGCAGUCAAGCAGGCUCCAUCCUAAAUCCUAGAAAUGCUCAAGAAGCACAAUCCCCAAAGACUUAAAUAUCUACCUUUUCAACUGCAGCAUUCACAAAGAGAGGGAACAAGGGAGUGAUCAAAUGAUAGAGCAUGCAAAAUGUCUGAUGUGAGCAAGAAGCAGCUCACAAGAGGUGAAGGAGUUUGGGCUAGAUUCAUAGCCAGGAUGAAAGGCAACAGUAGGAGACUGACCCAAACAGCCAUAUAUCUCAACUACUUCUUAUAAUUUUGAGCAAGGCUAAUGGGCAAUCUUACAUCCAAAGACAGAGCGAAGAUAAGGUAAGGAAAGGGACUACCAGAAAAUGUAGUUGAAUGAAUAUGGGAGGAAUGUCCAAACAGAGGAGACAAAGUGCAGAGAAAAGCACCCCAAAUACCAUGAUGAAGAAAAACAAACAAAGCAAGUGAAGUAAUGAGAUCAAUAAAGCAAGAGGGCAUUCAGGAGGUGGGGUUUUACAUAUAAAUGAGCUCCAUACAACACAAAAUGCAAACUCUUCCAGCUGCUCAAGGAUCUGCUGGAUGGGAUCUCUCAGGAAACUGUCUGUUAGGACAUAGGAAUGGAGCAUAGCUGGCAGCUCUUUAAGGACACCCUCCUGUGAACACAAGAGCUCUCCAUCCCCCAGCAGAAGAAAUUGAGCAGAGGCGGCAGGCAACCAGCAUGGCUAAUCAAGGACCUGCAGCUUAAACUGAGGGAAAAUAGAGAAAUAUACAGGAACUCGAAGCCCCAAAGUCCCCCAAAGGUUGGUCCUGGGACCCAUGCUCUUCAACAUCUUCAUCAAUGACACAAACAGUGGAAUCAAGUGUACCCUCAGCAGGUUUGCAGAUGACACCAAGCUGAGCAGUGCAGCCAAUACACUAGAGAGAAGGGAAGCCAUCCAGAAGGACCUGGACAGGCUGGAAAAGUGGGCCCAUGUCAAACUAAUGAAUUUCAACAAGGACAUGUGCAAGGUGUUGGCAUGCAGCAAUCCCAGGCAGAAAGAAGAGAUGGGCAACAGGAGUCCUCUCUCCAACCAGCAAGUGAACAUCUGGGAGUGGUUUGUACAAGAUCUCCUUCCUGAGAGGACGCUCUGGCUGG
Molecule: long non-coding RNA, 1171 nt
Organism: Gallus gallus (chicken)
Lineage: Eukaryota; Metazoa; Chordata; Aves; Galliformes; Phasianidae
Source: Ensembl